RNAcentral lists this transfer RNA (63 nucleotides) under Mileewa rufivena. RNAcentral describes it as "tRNA-Ser". The record is from RNAcentral. Lineage: Eukaryota; Metazoa; Arthropoda; Insecta; Hemiptera; Cicadellidae.
AGCUAUUUAGCUUAAAAAAAGCAUGUAUUUUGAAAAUAUAAGAUAGAAAAUUUUUAAUGGCUU